UUGUUUUAUGUGUGUUUUUCAGGAUUACAUUUCUGUGCGGAAGGAUUAAAAAAACUACACCAGACUGGUGGCCAUGAAAGAUGUCAGUGGGAAAUUUAAACAUGGACUAGAUACUUUGAUGUGUAGCAAAAAAGUUCAUCAUUGAUGGUGGUGUUUUUCUGUGAUAUAUUGACUGGGAUAGUAUUACUCUUCAGAAAUACAGAGCUGUCAAUGCUGCAAUUUUGUUGUGAAAUUCACAAUCCAUGUCCAAAAGUGCUUGUUUUACUAUACAGCAAAGAAGGAGAAAUUGUACCGGGCCGACACCUAUAUGGCAAAUUCAGAAAGUGGAAUAUCUCAGCAACCAUACGGUUUACAGUCAUGAAACUUCACACACUAGUAGCUGAUAACAAUACAAAUCAGUGGCUAAAAGGAUAUUUCCAAGGCGAUGAAUUUCAUAUGUCAGUAGGAAUUUAGAAUCGUACAACCAGUCAGCAGCUACCCAUAAACCAGACCAACCUAUUAAGUCAAGCGGGCAGAAGCUGUGAUUCCCAGUGUAACACCGCAGAAUGACGGCUGGUUUUCGGAUUACAUUUCUGUGCGGAAGGAUUAAAAAACUACACCAGACUGGUGGCCAUGACAGAUGUCAGUGGGAAAUUUAAACAUGGACUAGAUACUCUGAUGUGUAGCAAAAAAGUUCAUCGUUGAUGGUGGUGUUUUUCUGUGAUAUAUUGACUGGGAUAGUAUUAAUCUUCAGAAAUACAGAGCUGUCAAUUAUGCUGCAAUUUUGUUGUGAAAUUCACAA
This is a long non-coding RNA of Mercenaria mercenaria, 781 nucleotides long. RefSeq lists it as uncharacterized. The record is from RefSeq and is a predicted model, not a curated record. The transcript is spliced from 3 exons. Lineage: Eukaryota; Metazoa; Mollusca; Bivalvia; Venerida; Veneridae.